UACAGAGGUCCCAAGCGUUGUUCGGAUUCACUGGGCGUAAAGGGUGCGUAGGUGGUGGGGUAAGUUUGAUGUGAAAUCUCCGAGCUUAACUCGGAAGUGGCAUUGAAUACUAUUCGACUAGAGGUUUGGAGGGGGGACUGGAAUUCUCGGUGUAGCAGUGAAAUGCGUAGAUAUCGAGAGGAACACCGGUGGCGAAGGCGAGUCCCUGGACAACACCUGACACUGAGGCACGAAAGCUAGGGGAGCAAACAGG
This 253-nucleotide ribosomal RNA is filed under the name uncultured bacterium. RNAcentral describes it as "partial 16S ribosomal RNA". It matches the Rfam family "Bacterial small subunit ribosomal RNA", at positions 524 to 776 of the family's 1533-position model. The record is from RNAcentral.